Molecule: long non-coding RNA, 1413 nt
Organism: Thalassophryne amazonica
Lineage: Eukaryota; Metazoa; Chordata; Actinopteri; Batrachoidiformes; Batrachoididae
Exons: 3
Source: RefSeq, a predicted model, not a curated record
GCGUGUGUGUGCUUGUGUGGAACUACAUAAAAACAUAAAAGUGGACCGUCAGUUCAUGUGGACACGCAGCUGGUGAACUGAAUGUCACGUCUGACAGGACACGCGUGUUGGGCCGUGAGGACUGUAAGAGGUGCACCACAGGACCAGGACAAGCCAACAGCAUGACAAAUACUCCACUUUCAGUCACAUAUCAGUGUGAGUGUUUUUUAUAUAUACACACACACACGAGUAUAUAUAUAUAUAUAUAUAUAUAUAUAUAUACACACACACACACAUAUUAACCAUGGGUCUUUAACCCCAGGCGCCUGUAUUGUGUCCCAUUUUAUGUAUUAUUUAUAUCAACCCAGUGAUAUUCACUAAUUAUUCAGCUGGUUUUUAUUUUAUUUUCCUCCACAUCAGCGGUGAGAUGUGGUGCAGCUCGUCCCAUGGAACACAUUGUGAGCAGCUGCAGCAGCUCGCACUGUGUUCCUGCUCAAAAGCCACCAUCACGUGCACGAACCGUCGCACCUGCAUCGUGCACACCUGCCCGUCGACACGAUGUUUCAGGGUGCGCUCAUAGAAGCUCUACCGCCGUGAGCUGCCCUGAGUUGUACGUAUUCGCACUGUGUGUGAAGGGGACCUUACUGAUGACAUCCAAGGAACCCAAAAAUUACAACAACAAAAAAAGAAAAUCCACACAAAAAAGUGAGUAGUUUUUCAUCAGUAUGUUAAUUCUGAAUUCUGAUUAACACUAAAUAAAAACUGAUCAUUUAUUAACGCUAAAUUAAAUGAUCAAAUAAUAGCUUAGACCUGUGAAAAUGAGUGUAAAGCCAAUAACUGGAACACGGAUGGAAAUCAGAAUUCUAAAAUUCACAUACAGUUAAUAUUUUAUAUUUAAUAUAUGUAUUAAUUUUUUUUCCAUGUUGACUUGUAUAUUUAUAUCGUCUAUAUAUGAAUUUGUUCGCUUCCUGUACUUAACGGUGUAUUGGUCUCUACAAGCUUUGGCUUUUCCAGGUGCAACCCGUCUCACACUCCUGACAUUUUUAAAUUGACUUUUAUUUGAAAUGAAUCAGAAAAUUUGUUUAAGGAUGUCAUUUAAAAGUUUUUCACAAAGUGAGCCUUUCUUUCCUCUGUCUUUUGUAUUUCCAGACGAGAUGAUGGGAAAAAGUUAUUUACCAGUUAUGGCUUUCUUGUCAAAAGUGAAAUGACCCCAAAUGCCCCCAAAGAAUUUUUUUUUAACUGACAUAAUUCCUGAGAGGGCGAAGUCAAACUCAAGAAAAGCUUUGUGAAAAACAAGACUCUAACGAAACAUGAAGCAGUGUUCAUUCAUUCAUUCAGAUUCCUUCUAGUCUUCUUUGUAACUUUUCUGUUUCUGAUUCCCAACUCAAAGAUCACAAACGAAACAUUUAAAUCUAAAGUUUUUAAAGCAGAAAA